UAGGGAAUCUUCCACAAUGGGCGCAAGCCUGAUGGAGCAACACCGCGUGAGUGAAGAAGGGUUUCGGCUCGUAAAGCUCUGUUGUAAGAGAAGAAUGACAUUGAGAGUAACUGUUCAAUGUGUGACGGUAUCUUACCAGAAAGGAACGGCUAAAUACGUGCCAG
RNAcentral lists this ribosomal RNA (164 nucleotides) under uncultured bacterium. RNAcentral describes it as "partial 16S ribosomal RNA". It matches the Rfam family "Bacterial small subunit ribosomal RNA", at positions 355 to 511 of the family's 1533-position model. The record is from RNAcentral.